This 253-nucleotide ribosomal RNA is filed under the name uncultured bacterium. Its description in RNAcentral is "partial 16S ribosomal RNA". It matches the Rfam family "Bacterial small subunit ribosomal RNA", at positions 524 to 776 of the family's 1533-position model. The record is from RNAcentral.
UACGUAGGGUGCAAGCGUUGUCCGGAAUUAUUGGGCGUAAAGAGCUCGUAGGCGGUCUGUCGCGUCUGCUGUGAAAACUCAGGGCUUAACCCUGAGCUUGCAGUGGGUACGGGCAGACUAGAGUGCGGAAGAGGCGAGUGGAAUUCCUGGUGUAGCGGUGAAAUGCGCAGAUAUCAGGAGGAACACCGAUGGCGAAGGCAGGUCUCUGGGCCAUAACUGACGCUGAGAAGCGAAAGCAUGGGGAGCGAACAGG